This 299-nucleotide unclassified non-coding RNA is filed under the name uncultured fungus. Its description in RNAcentral is "partial contains 5.8S ribosomal RNA, internal transcribed spacer 2, and large subunit ribosomal RNA". The record is from RNAcentral. Lineage: Eukaryota; Fungi.
AACGCACCUUGCGCUCCUUGGCUAUUCCGAGGAGCAUGCCUGUUUGAGUGUCAUGUUAAUCUCAACCCCGCCGGUUUUGUGAUCGCGUUGGGUGUUGGACUUGGGGGCUGCUGGCUUAUCUCAAAGCCGGCUCCUCUUGAAUGCAUUAGCUUGGACCUGUUCGCUUGCUAGCGGUGUAAUACGUAUAUAUUCACUGUGCGCGAGUGUAACUACAAAGGGUCUGCUUCUAAUCGUCCUUCACGGGACACUUAACUCUUGACUCUGACCUCAAAUCAGGUAGGACUACCCGCUGAACUUAA